This 433-nucleotide ribosomal RNA is filed under the name uncultured bacterium. RNAcentral's name for it is "partial 16S ribosomal RNA". It matches the Rfam family "Bacterial small subunit ribosomal RNA", at positions 29 to 507 of the family's 1533-position model. The record is from RNAcentral.
AACGAACGCUGGCGGCAUGCCUAACACAUGCAAGUCGAACGAGACCUUCGGGUCUAGUGGCGCACGGGUGCGUAACGCGUGGGAACCUGCCCUUAGGUUCGGAAUAACUCCCCGAAAGGGGUGCUAAUACCGGAUAAUGUCUUCGGACCAAAGAUUUAUCGCCUUUGGAUGGGCCCGCGUUGGAUUAGCUAGUUGGUAGGGUAAAAGCGUACCAAGGCGACGAUCCAUAGCUGGUCUGAGAGGAUGAGCAGCCACACUGGGACUGAGACACGGCCCAGACUCCUACGGGAGGCAGCAGUGGGGAAUACUGGAAAAUGGGCGAAAGCCUGAUGCAGCAAUGACGCGUGAGUGAUGAAGGCCUUAGGGUUGUAAAGCUCUUUUACCCGUGAUGAUAAUGACAGUACCGGGAGAAUAAGCUCCGGCUAACUCCGUG